GUAGGUGGCAAGCGUUGUCCGGAAUUAUUGGGCGUAAAGCGCGCGCAGGUGGUUCUUUAAGUCUGAUGUGAAAGCCCCCGGCUCAACCGGGGAGGGUCAUUGGAAACUGGGGAACUUGAGUGCAGGAGAGGAAAGUGGAAUUCCACGUGUAGCGGUGAAAUGCGUAGAUAUGUGGAGGAACACCAGUGGCGAAGGCGACUUUCUGGCCUGUAACUGACACUGAGGCGCGAAAGCGUGGGGAGCAAACAGGAUUAGAUACCCUGGUAGUCCACGCCGUAAACGAUGAGUGCUAAGUGUUGGGGGGGUUUUCCCCGGCCCCCCCUCAGUGCUGCAGCUAACGCAUUAAGCACUCCGCCUGGGGAGUACGGUCGCAAGAACUG
RNAcentral lists this ribosomal RNA (380 nucleotides) under uncultured organism. RNAcentral's name for it is "partial 16S ribosomal RNA". It matches the Rfam family "Bacterial small subunit ribosomal RNA", at positions 527 to 897 of the family's 1533-position model. The record is from RNAcentral.